GGUUAGAGUCUUACUCCAACCCAUGUGAACAUACCAUACGUUGCCUCGGCAGGUCGCGCCUACCCCGUAGCGUCCUACCCUAUAGGACCUACCCGGUAGACGCGGGUAAGCCUGCCGGCGGCCCAAGAAACUCUGUUUAGUAUUGAAUUCUGAACCUAUAACUAAAUAAGUUAAAACUUUCAACAACGGAUCUCUUGGUUCUGGCAUCGAUGAAGAACGCAGCGAAAUGCGAUAAGUAAUGUGAAUUGCAGAAUUCAGUGAAUCAUCGAAUCUUUGAACGCACAUUGCGCCCAUUAGUAUUCUAGUGGGCAUGCCUGUUCGAGCGUCAUUUCAACCCUUAAGCCCUCGUUGCUUAGUGUUGGGAGCCUACGGUACCCGUAGCUCCUCAAAGUUAGUGGCGGAGUCGGUUCACACUCUAGACGUAGUAAUUUUAUCUCGCCUAUCAGUUGGACCGGUCCCCUGCCGUAAAACACCCCAAUUUCUAAAGGUUGACCUCGGAUCAGGUAGGAAUACCCGCUGAACUUAAGCAUAUCAAUAAGCCGGAGGA
Molecule: ribosomal RNA, 547 nt
Filed under: Xylaria sp.
Lineage: Eukaryota; Fungi; Ascomycota; Sordariomycetes; Xylariales; Xylariaceae
Description: eukaryotic LSU rRNA
Rfam family: 5.8S ribosomal RNA (bases 175-328)
Source: RNAcentral